GACGAACGCUGGCGGCGUGCCUAAUACAUGCAAGCAGAACGCUGAAGAGAGGAGCUUGCUCUUCUUGGAUGAGUUGCGAACGGGUGAGUAACGCGUAGGUAACCUGCCUGGUAGCGGGGGAUAACUAUUGGAAACGAUAGCUAAUACCGCAUAAAAUUGAUUAUUGCAUGAUAAUUAAUUGAAAGAUGCAACUGCAUCACUACCAGAUGGACCUGCGUUGUAUUAGCUAGUUGGUGAGGUAACGGCUCACCAAGGCGACGAUACAUAGCCGACCUGAGAGGGUGAUCGGCCACACUGGGACUGAGACACGGCCCAGACUCCUACGGGAGGCAGCAGUAGGGAAUCUUCGGCAAUGGGGGGAACCCUGACCGAGCAACGCCGCGUGAGUGAAGAAGGUUUUCGGAUCGUAAAGCUCUGUUGUAAGAGAAGAACGGGUGUGAGAGUGGAAAGUUCACACUGUGACGUAUCUACCAGAAA
Molecule: ribosomal RNA, 477 nt
Filed under: Streptococcus sanguinis
Lineage: Bacteria; Bacillati; Bacillota; Bacilli; Lactobacillales; Streptococcaceae
Description: bacterial SSU rRNA
Rfam family: Bacterial small subunit ribosomal RNA
Source: RNAcentral